AUUGAACGCUGGCGGCAUGCUUUACACAUGCAAGUCGAACGGUAACAGGCCGCAAGGUGCUGACGAGUGGCGCACGGGUGCGUAAUGCAUCGGAACGUGCCCAGUCGUGGGGGAUAACUACUCGAAAGAGUAGCUAAUACCGCAUACGAUCUAUGGAUGAAAGCGGGGGACCGUAAGGCCUCGCGCGAUUGGAGCGGCCGAUGUCAGAUUAGGUAGUUGGUGGGGUAAAGGCUCACCAAGCCAACGAUCUGUAGCUGGUUUGAGAGGACGACCAGCCACACUGGGACUGAGACACGGCCCAGACUCCUACGGGAGGCAGCAGUGGGGAAUUUUGGACAAUGGGCGCAAGCCUGAUCCAGCAAUGCCGCGUGCAGGAAGAAGGCCUUCGGGUUGUAAACUGCUUUUGUACGGAACGAAACGGCUCUGGUUAAUACCCGGGGCUAAUGACGGUACCGUAAGAAUAAGCACCGGCUAACUACGUG
This 482-nucleotide ribosomal RNA is filed under the name uncultured bacterium. Its description in RNAcentral is "partial 16S ribosomal RNA". It matches the Rfam family "Bacterial small subunit ribosomal RNA", at positions 30 to 507 of the family's 1533-position model. The record is from RNAcentral.